GAUGAACGCUGGCGGCGUGCCUAAUACAUGCAAGUCGAGCGAACAGACGAGGAGCUUGCUCCUCUGACGUUAGCGGCGGACGGGUGAGUAACACGUGGAUAACCUACCUAUAAGACUGGGAUAACUUCGGGAAGCCGGAGCUAAUACCGGAUAAUAUAUUGAACCGCAUGGUUCAAUAGUGAAAGACGGUUUUGCUGUCACUUAUAGAUGGAUCCGCGCCGCAUUAGCUAGUUGGUAAGGUAACGGCUUACCAAGGCAACGAUGCGUAGCCGACCUGAGAGGGUGAUCGGCCACACUGGAACUGGGACACGGUCCAGACUCCUACGGGAGGCAGCAGUAGGGAAUCUUCCGCAAUGGGCGAAAGCCUGACGGAGCAACGCCGCGUGAGUGAUGAAGGUCUUCGGAUCGUAAAACUCUGUUAUUAGGGAAGAACAAAUGUGUAAGUAACUAUGCACGUCUUGACGGUACCUAAUCAGAAAGCCACGGCUAACUACGUG
This 497-nucleotide ribosomal RNA is filed under the name uncultured bacterium. Its description in RNAcentral is "partial 16S ribosomal RNA". It matches the Rfam family "Bacterial small subunit ribosomal RNA", at positions 28 to 507 of the family's 1533-position model. The record is from RNAcentral.